Molecule: long non-coding RNA, 3973 nt
Filed under: Gallus gallus (chicken)
Lineage: Eukaryota; Metazoa; Chordata; Aves; Galliformes; Phasianidae
Description: lncRNA (ENSGALG00010025583.1)
Source: RNAcentral
CGGGGCCGUGCGGGCGCGGACGCAACUUUCGGCGUGUGCCGAGCGGCGGGGCGGGCGCGGUACGAGCGGAGCGGAUCGGCAAUAGAUGUAUUGCGCGUCCGACUCCCUCCCUUCCCGCCCCUCCCUCCGCCGAAGGUGGGACGGCCGUACGGCGCGGUACGCCCGGCGCUCCAACCGCGGAGCCGCCCCGUCGGGUACCGCCGGGCCGGGUCGAGCCGGGCGGGGCGGGAGGGUGCGCAGCCCUCGCGGGGAACCGGGGCGGAUCGGGCCGUACGGACAGCGCCGACUGCCCGCCGAUUGGCGUCUGCGAUCCUCUCCGAUCGCGGGGAUCUGUUUCCCACCGGGAACAGCCCGGGAUUACCCCCGCUGGUUGCUCUCCCGGAUCCCGGCCGGGGGAAACUCCUUACUCCGGUGCUCGGCCCGAGCCCUCCGGCCCCGCUGCCGGCCCGGGGCGGUGUUUGACAAGGGUGGGCCGGGCCAGGGGCUCCGGCCACCUCCCCGCAGCCGAACGGCAAGCGCCUUCCUGGGAGGGGCCCGCGCCGGGUUCGGGCUUCGAACCCCGAUCCACGGGAUCGGCCGGCGACACCGGGCGUUGCUGCGGGCGGGGCGGGCGCGGCCCGCACUACACUUCCCGGAGGGCCCUGCUGCCACCGGGCCCGCCCCCGCCCCUCCCGGCAUCCGAUUGGUCAUCUCCCCACGGCCGUCCGUCCCUCUCCUCCUCUCAUUGGCUGGCGGAGCCGUCGCUCCGCGGGGGGUAGAACAGGGUGGGGGAGUGGCGGGGCGCUGGCGGCACGCGGGAGCUCGGCGCUGACAGGGCGGCGCGCGGAGGCGCUGCGGGACGGGCCGGGACAGGACGGGCACCUCCUGCCCGCGGCAGGUGAGCUCCGUAAGACUGGUUUAAGCAGUGCAGAAGUUCAUGGAUGGAAGAAGAGUCCUUGUUUCAGAACACCUACACCUGAAGAUUUUAUAAACGCCGUUAGAAGAGCUGGCGUGCAGGAGGAAUGGAUCUCAUCUGUCUGCUGUGAUUCUUGACCCACCUAAUCGGCUAAUGGCCACGAGCAAUAACAGCGUGGCUCAGGGGAGCGGAGCUGGGGAGAGAUGCAGCCGCUUGGGGCAGAGAAGCACUGCGUUGUACCGAAGGUGUUGCACAUGAUCCUGCCGUUGAUGACCGAACCUCCCUGAAAUCUUCUUAUCAGUUGCUGCCAAGAUGAGAAGGAUAGCAGGAAAGAGGAGUGCAUAAGUGAUUCUCAUGACAGUUAAUUUCAUCAUUUUAUCAAAUGACAGGUUAUUGUUCCCGCUAUGCAAGGAAGUUGAACUGUUUUCCUGAGCAUACCCAGAAUUAAUUCAGCACAAGUUGAUCAGGUUAUGUGACCAGAACAUGCUGGUUACUGCUGGCCUGGGCCAUUCUGAUGGAAGAGCAGGAAGCAUGCAGACCAGCUGCAUCAAUGGCUUGCCUGGGAAGGGGUGUCACCAACAGGGGAGUUGUGGAGCUGGUGGUGGUGAUUUGGUGUUUUCAGCAGGUGCAGCUGCAUCUCUAAGUUCUACACAUGUGGAAAAAUACUUUGUUAAAGCAGCUCCUGGGUGAACGGGGUAAUUAAAGAACUGCGCCGCUUUUAUUGGAGUUGACACAUGCUGCACGUUCCUUAAAACUCACUCAUGGUGUGGAGCACCCUGCCAAGCACACUCUGCUCCUCUGGGCUGCAGUGAGAAGUGGAUGACCGGUGCUGCACACAGCUAAGCACACAGCCUUAUCAGCAAGCGUGCUUUUAGGUUAAAGCACAGCCAUCUCCAUACUGACAGAGAGGAAGUCACAGAGUUACAGCGUUGACCAGCACAGUGGCUGGAGGUGAUUUCUUUUUUUUUUCUCUCCCCCUCCAAGUCUUCUGUUAAAAUAGUGAUAAUUAAAUCAUAGACAACUUUUGCAUGGAAAGCCCAGUAUGGCGAUGUUAUUUAAUAAGAGGUAAGAAAUGCUUUGGCAACAUUGAAUUCUUAGUAGCAUCAUGUAUCAUCUGUGUUUUGUGUGGUUGCAAAAAUGUUGCUCUUACUGCUAUUCGGCUUAAGACCAUCAUGUUUCACUUCUGUAUUUUGAGACACAUAAACUGUUAAAGCUCUAAGCACUUCUCAGGCAUUACCUCUGACUUGCUAUUAUUGCAUACUAUAAAACAUAAUAAAACACAAUAUUAAAGUCUAUGCUGAAAGAAUAUUAUUCGGUGGCUAUGAAUAAAAAAUGUGGACAAGUUUUUAAAAUCUGUUUGUUUGUUUUUUGCUAAUUCUUUACAGAAAGUGUUACAAUUAUUAGCAUUAUUUUUAAUACAAAAAAAGUGCUCCUUACAGGGAUGCAUAACGUGCAGUAGUAUACUGGUGUUUUAUAUUUCUAGGGCUGUAUUAUAGAAACUGAAAAUAUACACUUUUUAGCAUCUUGUUAGCAUAUGCAGUAGGAACUAGUUUUAUAUCUGAACGUGCCAGUGAGAUGCUAUGUAUUUUUAGCUGUUUCUGCAUCCCAAUAAAUUUAUCCCACAGACCGGGCUCUGCAAGUUGAAGAUGAAAAAUUGGUUUCCGAACUCCUUGUGUGUUGCUUUAACAUCGCAAGUAGAUUCCCAUGUGCUAAAGUGUAAACUACCAACUAAUCCGUAGCAGUUUUACAGGAGAGAGUCACUUAAUUAACACUUUUAAUUUCAGAUGUGCAAGCGAGGUCUGGGAAGUGGAGAGAGGCUUCGUGCUUCCUAGCUGAAGAGUUGUUGUGCUCUGAGUCCGCUGUUGAUAGCACCCAUAGACCACCUCCUUCCUGCUAAUUAGGCCUCAUGAACACGGCCUCUGGAAAUGGCUUGAGAAGUGUGUUGGGUGGGUGGUUUUUUUCCGGCCAGCCACUACGCCAUCAUAAAUAAGGGAACGGUGCUGUAUGUAGCUAUUACACCAGGCUCGUUUGGCAGGCCGUAAUUUAAUAGAACAACAACGAUCAGACUGGUAUAUCAGUUAAUUUUCAAAACAUUUUAUUCCACACAAAUUAGCACAGGUCCUGGAGGGCAAAAUGACAAGAGGUUACUCGUACACUGUGUAUUUAAUUAAUUGAAAAAUGCUCAGAUUGCUUUUACAGUUGUUAUUAGAAAGUAGAAUCAGUGUUGCCAGUGCUCAACCAUAAUUAGAGCCCCAGGGAAUUAAAUAUUUAGCAUUAGUAAUGUAACAGCACUUAGGACACAAAUUUCUAUUUUUGUAAUGAAAGCAAUGCAGCAUAAGUGCAAAUGGCUGAAACGACAGCUGUGACAAGUGAAGCAGCCUGGGAUAUUUCAAUAGGACACCUCAUUGGACAGCAAGUCUUACCGCAUUACUCGUUCGUAAGAGAUCUGCAAGUCGAAAUCCCAGCAGCCACGCAUGGCACCCCGUGCUCAGGCUUCUAAUUGCUCGCAGGACGAACGCUUGGACAAAUGUCACAGCGCCAGGGGUGGGGACGGGCCGUGUUGCCCUACGUACCGGGCAGGGCAGAGCGGGAAGCCAGCCCUUGUUUGUUGGGACUUUAAUUACAUCUUAAGCAGAAGCGCUUUCAGUAGCAGCACAGGGCGAGAGGUCGGACGUUGGGCUCUAACGAGCGGUGCUGGCGGAGGGCCCGAGGGAUUGGCUCUGCGCGGGGCCGUGCACAGCUCCGAGCUGCUUUGUUCUGAGCCGCGCGGCCCGUCGCGAGGUGCGGUGCUAAGCAGGAAUAAAGCACGACGACUUCAGUUCUCUGCUUUUUCUCUUCUCAGGGUGGAGGGGAAGGAGGGCAGUCCGAAGCCACCUGUGUUUCUUGAAUAUAAAAAAAAAAAAAAAAAAAAAAGCCCAGUAUUUGGGCCCGGCACGGCUUGUCAGUGUAUUUGAGGCUGUGUUUCCUCAGAACGCGCCAUCGGCUGGAAUUGCUGCCGCGCCGUUUGCAGACGCGCUUCGCUCCCGCUCGGCACGCGUUCGCUGUCCGCGCCGCGCUGCUCGGAGCCGCCGUGACGCC